GGAGAGGUGGCUGAGUGGUUGAAAGCACCGCUUUGCUAAAGCGGCGAGGGGCCUAAAACCCCUCCGCGGGUUCGAAUCCCGCCCUCUCCG
RNAcentral lists this transfer RNA (90 nucleotides) under Gemmata sp. RNAcentral's name for it is "tRNA-Ser". It matches the Rfam family "tRNA". From Rfam's summary of the family: Transfer RNA (tRNA) molecules are approximately 80 nucleotides in length. Their secondary structure includes four short double-helical elements and three loops (D, anti-codon, and T loops). Lineage: Bacteria; Pseudomonadati; Planctomycetota; Planctomycetia; Gemmatales; Gemmataceae. The record is from RNAcentral. RNAcentral also lists the same sequence under 4 other names.